AUUGUAUUGGGGAAAUAACUAUUAAAAAACAAAUUUCAUAUGAACUCAAAAAAAAAGAAAAAGAAUUUCAAGACAGCGGCCACACGAUAUUGAAACAAGUGUGGGCCCCUUCCAAGCACAGGACCCUGAGCAUCCCCUGCCCGGGUUGCAGGCCCACGAAGAAGGCCCUGCAGCUCGGUCUCCAGUUUGGGCUGUUCCACCUGAAGGCAGGAGGGAAUUUGGUGAGUGGGUCCUAUGCUUCCUCAUUGGAGAAGCCGAAGGUGGAGGAGCUGGAAGUGGGAGAGGAGAAAUAAAAAAUUUCAAGAGUGGAUUUCCUCUCCCUCCAAGAGUCACGAGCUGGUUUUAGUCAGAAGACCGUGGCAGAGUCCCCAGCCCAUGGCUGAGUCAUCUCCAGAACUGUGGGCUUUCAGUGAAAAAGAAGGAGAAAGCCUGGGGCUGCUGCCAGGUCUGCGGGAGAUCCUGGGUCCUCCAUCGACUGAGCAACGCGAUGCAAACGGAACAGAAAGGACCUGUCUGAGCCCGGGUGAGGGGUUGGCAGCUGCUGCCCCUGCGGCCCCAAGACUGGGUCCUAUUGCAAUUGCCACCUCUCCUUGCAACUGUUAACCUCCCACAAUGCCGCUGCUCUGUGUCCCUGGCCCCUGAUCCCAAGUCUGAUCGAAUUGCCUUGAUCACCCGCUGUGACAGAGUAAGAAACAUACCCUCGGUCUCUGCCCCAGCUCCUCACUCAGAUCUUCUGAAAUCCUGGUAAUUUCCUGAGUAGUGGGGGCUGGGGGAGCAUCUGACACAGGCCUCCUAAAUGCCUGGGAGCUUCCUACGUGGUAGGAGGUCUUGGUUCUAACGAAGGGACUCCGGGUGGCAUCAGGAUGGAGGCUGUUUGCCAGAAAGACUAAGCCUUGAUCGCAAGCUUGAAACUCUGGGGAGGGAGAGGGACUGGGGAUUGAGUUCAAAAUCAAUCAUGCCUACAUGAUAAAAACCUCUAUAUCAGUCUCUGAAUUGCAGGGCUUCAAAGCGCUCCUGGGUUGGCGAACACGUCCAUGUGCCAGGAGAAUGGCUCACCCCGACUCCACAGGGACAAAAGCACCUGGGCUUGAAACCCUUCUAGACCUCACCCUCUGCACCUCUUCAUCUGGCUGUUCAUUGGCAUCCUUCAACCUGUGAGGAGUGCUGAGGGGCAGAUCUCAGCCUCAGCAGCAAGAAGCAGGCUCUGCUUUCCACUGAACCUAAGUCUCAGACUAUCCACACUUAUUUCUUGUAAAAAGACAGAGUGGGCCAAGUCUUUGCUUACCUCAUCCAUGAAGAACAACCAACAGCACAAGGAACUACAGCACCCUCUCUACUGUUUAUCCAUCAUCAGUGGAGAAAAUGAAGAUUGGAAGAAAAUACAAAGGAUCCCCUCCAAGAUCACAUCCAAUUGUCACGUCUCCUUGGUCUCCACCCUGUGAUGAUCUCUCAGUCUUCCCUUGGUUUUCCUGAGCCUGACACUUUUGAAGAACACUGGUCAGGGUUUUCACAGAAUGUGCCACAAUUUGGGUGCGUCUGAUAUUGUCUCAGGAUGGGGCUGGGCUCAUGGAUUUAGGGGAAAAGUCCCACAGAGGUGAGGAGGUGCCCUCCCCACAUGACACAGAGGGCACCCGCCACCCCCAGGUGGGGGUAUUUAUAUCAUUAGGGGUGGUGUUGACCUUGCAUCAACCCCCCACCCCCACCCCUGGGAGGUGUCAGGCGUGUCUCCACCGAGUUGCUGUCUUUCCCACCCCUAUUCUGUGCUUUAGAAGCAAGUCACCAUCCAGCUCAUUGUGAAGCAGAAGGGGGUCCAGCUGCACCUCCUGUGGGGGAGGUGGACUAUCAAAGCAUUUGUGGAUGAAAGUUAAAACGGCUGCAAUGAUCAGAAAAUAUUGGGGCUCAAUAGCUGGGAGGCUUUGCACAUUUCCUGUUUCUCCUCCAAGUUUCCCCUGUUUAUUUGAGCCGUCAACUGUGGGUCUUGUCUGCAGCAGUUACUACUGGGGUGCUUACUGGUAAUUUUCCAUUUUCCUUAUUCCUUCUGUGUUUAUAAGUUAGAAUUCUAUAAGGAGGGCUUCCCGCUGUGGCGCAGUGGGUUAAGACUCCAACUGCAGUGGCUCGGGUCCCUGUAGAGGCACGGGUUCCAUCUUCAGCCCUGUGGUACCGUGGGUUAAAGGAUCAGGUGUCACAGCAGCUGCAGCUCAGAUUCAAUCCCUGACCCAGAAGCGUCCAUAUGCCACAGGUGCAGCCAUUCAGAAAA
Long non-coding RNA from Phacochoerus africanus (Common warthog), 2257 nucleotides. RefSeq lists it as uncharacterized. Lineage: Eukaryota; Metazoa; Chordata; Mammalia; Artiodactyla; Suidae. The record is from RefSeq and is a predicted model, not a curated record. The transcript has 3 exons.